This 235-nucleotide long non-coding RNA is filed under the name Lathyrus oleraceus (garden pea). RNAcentral describes it as "Pisum sativum (pea) long non-coding RNA (PSAT_LNC011401)". Lineage: Eukaryota; Viridiplantae; Streptophyta; Magnoliopsida; Fabales; Fabaceae. The record is from RNAcentral.
GGCUGUCAGACUUUCAGGGUAAACAGGGAUUGAAUACCAAGAACCGUAGAAUUUGCGCAAUACAGGGAUCCACCAAUGGAAACGUCCACUGGGAUUUGAUAUUUAUUACUGGGUAUAUUUUUCAAAGGGUACGGCCACGUCCAGACAUCGCAACGACGAUGAAUGGGAAAAGAAAUCACAACUAGAUGCCAACGGACAACUAGGAAAAACUCAACGUUUACCAAGACCAACGGAG